CCCGCUGAACUUAAGCAUAUCAAUAAGCGGAGGAAAAGAAACUAACAAGGACUCCCCUAGUAACUGCGAGUGAACCGGGAAAAGCUCAAAUUUUGAAUCUGGCGGUCCUUCGGGCCGUCCGAGUUGUAAUCUAGAGAAGCGUCUUCCGCGCUGGACCGUGUAUAAGUUUCCUGGAAUGGAACGUCGUAGAGGGUGACAAUCCCGUCUUUGACACGGACUCCCAGGGCUUUGUGAUGCGCUCUCGACGAGUCGAGUUGUUUGGGAAUGCAGCUCAAAUAGGGUGGUAAAUUCCAUCUAAAGCUAAAUAUAGGCGAGAGACCGAUAGCGAACAAGUACCGUGAGGGAAAGAUGAAAAGCACUUUGGAAAGAGAGUUAAACAGUACGUGAAAUUGCUGAAAGGGAAACGCUUGAAGUCAGUCACGUCUGCCAGGACUCAGCCUUGCUUCUGCUUGGUGUACUUUCUGGUUGGAUGGGCCAACAUCAAUUUCGACCGUUGGAGAAAGGCUUUGGGAAUGUGGCACCUUCGGGUGUGUUAUAGCCCUUUGUUGUAUACAACGGUUGGGAUUGAGGACUGCAGCAUGCCUUCAUGGCCGGGGUUCGCCCACGUACAUGCUUAGGAUGUUGGCAUAAUGGCUUUAAGCGACCCGUCUUGAAACACGG
RNAcentral lists this ribosomal RNA (660 nucleotides) under uncultured fungus. Its description in RNAcentral is "eukaryotic LSU rRNA". It matches the Rfam family "Eukaryotic large subunit ribosomal RNA", at positions 24 to 664 of the family's 3401-position model. Lineage: Eukaryota; Fungi. The record is from RNAcentral.